UUAAUUGAAGAGUUUGAUCAUGGCUCAGAUUGAACGCUGGCGGCAGGCCUAACACAUGCAAGUCGGGCGGUAACAGGGAGAAGCUUGCUUCUCUGCUGACGAGCGGCGGACGGGUGAGUAAUGUAUGGGGAUCUGCCUGAUGGCGGGGGAUAACUACUGGAAACGGUAGCUAAUACCGCAUAAUGUCUACGGACCAAAGCGGGGGACCUCCGGGCCUCGCGCCAUCAGAUGAACCCAUAUGGGAUUAGCUAGUAGGUAAGGUAACGGCUUACCUAGGCGACGAUCCCUAGCUGGUCUGAGAGGAUGAUCAGCCACACUGGGACUGAGACACGG
Molecule: ribosomal RNA, 333 nt
Filed under: Salmonella enterica subsp. enterica serovar Abony
Lineage: Bacteria; Pseudomonadati; Pseudomonadota; Gammaproteobacteria; Enterobacterales; Enterobacteriaceae
Also listed under: 1 other name
Description: partial 16S ribosomal RNA
Rfam family: Bacterial small subunit ribosomal RNA
Source: RNAcentral